RNAcentral lists this long non-coding RNA (646 nucleotides) under Hordeum vulgare. RNAcentral describes it as "long non-coding RNA (HVUL_LNC014933)". The record is from RNAcentral. Lineage: Eukaryota; Viridiplantae; Streptophyta; Magnoliopsida; Poales; Poaceae.
UACAAAUUCUUUAGCACUGCCUCCAACCCAGAUAUUUAUUAGUAUCAUCAUCCAUAUCAUUUGUAUUCCAAAUGAAUGAUUAACUGUAUGUAGCCUCAUUCCGGCAAAAUUUUGUAUGUAAAUACAUAACAGAGCAUGCAAUGCGACCCAAAACUAUAUACGGGACAGGUCGCAUGUUCAUUAUUCCUUCCAUUCCAUGUAUCUAUAAUAUUAUCUCAGACAACCAUAACGCCUUUUCUUUCUCUCCUCCCGUCAGAGCGCACACCGCGACGACCCCUCCCGGGACCAGGAGUGCACCCCCCCGGGCCAUCUCGAUGGAGAAACGAGAGUGCUUUGCACGCCGGAACGCCGUCAGAGUACACGCGCCGAGGCCAGGGAAGAGAGCCUCAUCAAUGGUGGUGCUGUGAGAACGGCCACCAUCUCCUCUUCUUCGCCGUGUGCAACCUCGGAGCGUCUGUUACCAAAACCAUAGGAAAGAGAGGGUUUCAGCGAUUAAUAUUUAUUAUCAGGCAGAGAUCGCGGUGUCAGUGUGGAAUGUUGGUUGCAUACGUUUGCGACGGGGACUGGACACGCAUUGCAUGUAUGCCAAUGGCAGGCAGGCAUGCUACUCACCGUUCUGUGGAAAUAUCGAGUUGUAGUGAACCUC